UCUCCGUAGGUGAACCUGCGGAGGGAUCAUUACCGAGUGAGGGCCUCCAGGCCCGACCUCCAACCCUUUGUGAACCACAGCCUGUUGCUUCGGGGGCGACCCUGCCGUCACGGCACCGGCGCCCCCGGGGGACACUUAACACUGCAUCUUUGCGUCGGAGUUUAAACAAAUUAAACAAAACUUUCAACAACGGAUCUCUUGGUUCUGGCAUCGAUGAAGAACGCAGC
Molecule: unclassified non-coding RNA, 227 nt
Filed under: uncultured fungus
Lineage: Eukaryota; Fungi
Description: sequence contains ITS1, 5.8S rRNA gene
Rfam family: 5.8S ribosomal RNA (bases 179-227)
Source: RNAcentral